GGCAUUUUUCUCUUAACCAGCGCAAUGUACUUAGGAGGUCAUGCGCCGGUUAAACUCUGCCAUUAUGCCUCUUACUGGGCAUGCUUGAGCCCACGGGCCCAACUCCUGAGAUCCCAUUCGGAAGCUGCUGAUCACCAGUUUCAAGUGUUUCUGUUUAUUGGGAGACUGCCUUCCUCUGGCACUGGCAGUGACCAAUUAUUAUUUUAGAGAGACUGUUAACGGCCUGACCAUCACCUGAUGAAUAUCAGGAAUGUGGCCUGACAUUCCUGGUGUGUGUGGUGUGGGGUACGAGGGGAGCUCUCUCCUACGCUGCUCAUGUCUGACUAGUUGGAUUCUGCAGAGUGGAAGUGGGAAACUCCUUCUGACCCUGGCCACCUGUCUCCAUGUGAAGGCAGAUCCAUUUGAGUGACAGUCCGAGGCAAUACCUCAACUGCCUCUCACUUCCCAAGACAAAUAAACCCACUUGACCUUGAUGUGCUUUUUGUGAAUACAUUGUGAGAUUGGACUUUCGGAUAUUUUAUUUAGAAUUUCUGCGUCUAUAUUCUUUGGGAGGUACACGGAGCGCCUUCUUUUCGUUUAGAGCAUUGGUGUCUCCACAUUAGAAGCAUCCUAUGUAGCUGUUCUGCUUGCAGCUGCCCAAGUCUGCCUGGGCCUCCUGCAUGAGGUCAUGAGUCUUAAUAAAGCCACUGACCCACACAUUUGGAAUCGUACUGACUUUUCACAACUAACAGCCAACACAUUGCCAAGAAGCAAUUCAAUUGUUGAGGAUAUCACAUCAUGCCAGGGAAAGAGAGAUGGAAUUCAGAAAGCCUGGGAUAUUGCAGUGCCUUCUUCCCACGAUUUUAAAAGGAAAUGGGAGAACUGUGCAGUCACACUGACAUCCCGCAUCCACGCGGAAUCUGCUCAGCCACGGUGGAGCAUCCAUUGGUGCACCGAGGGGGAUGGCAGGGGCCCCAACACACAACACGAUUUAUAUCAAAGCAA
This is a long non-coding RNA of Homo sapiens (human), 984 nucleotides long. Ensembl annotates it as long intergenic non-protein coding RNA 1777. The record is from Ensembl. Lineage: Eukaryota; Metazoa; Chordata; Mammalia; Primates; Hominidae.